CAGACUGAUUCAAAACAGCACCAGAUGAAGCGGGUGGAGCAGAAAAGGGUGUGGCAAAAGCUCUUCCCGUAGCAUCUGGGA
Molecule: small nucleolar RNA, 81 nt
Filed under: Olea europaea subsp. europaea
Lineage: Eukaryota; Viridiplantae; Streptophyta; Magnoliopsida; Lamiales; Oleaceae
Source: RNAcentral